Long non-coding RNA from Bos indicus x Bos taurus (hybrid cattle), 860 nucleotides. The record is from Ensembl. Lineage: Eukaryota; Metazoa; Chordata; Mammalia; Artiodactyla; Bovidae.
GUCUAUAUACAAAAUGCUCCCCAAACAUAUGAUGUUAUGCCAAAAACUCUGAAGAGAAGGAUAUAACAUCAAAAACAAACCAAAAAGAAAAAAAAAAGGCAAAACUCUCUUGGCUCUGUUCAGUUCAGUUCAGUCGCUCAGUCGUGUCCGACUCUUUGCGACCCCAUGAAUUGCAGCGCGCCAGGCCGCCCUGUCCAUCACCAACUCCCGGAGUUCACUCUGUAGACAGAGCUAAUGCUUCCUCUACAUCGAAAAAAAUAAUUGCUCUGUGGUCGGUCACAUCUGAAUGCUGUUGGGUGAGGUAACGCUGUGGUUGCCAUGGAGACGUGCUUUUUUAGCAGUGCUGGCAUCAGGAAGCUUCACUGAGUUGCCUCUCAUCUGUAGCUGAGUGCCUGAUAUACCGGGGGAAGAAAGUCAUGGCCCAAACCAAGACAUAGCUUGAGAGGGAGCAGAGCCGUGGCACCAGGGACACUCUCCAGAUUUGUCUGGUCUGAGGACCUCAGAGUCCCCUUGGUGUGUAAGGAGACCAGUCGGGGGACAGCGGUGGUUUCUGAGCUUCCAGUGAAGGAGAGUGAGGCUGGACCACAACUGGAGGACAAGACAUCCUCUCCAUCUCAGCCAUCCCAGACAGGUGAGCCAGGCUCCCCUGGACACCCCGGCACUGCUGAGCCAACCCCAGACAGAAGAACUGCCCGGACCCCCUCACAGCUUGCGUGAGACAACAGGUAGGUGUCUUGUGAAACACUGAGUGUUAGAGCAGUUUGUUAGGCAGCAAAUCAUCGCUUUGCACCUCCCACGUUGGAAUUCUCCUUUUUUGAAGCGCCAUAGCAGCUCAGCUUGGGCUUCCUUGGUGGCUCAGA